RNAcentral lists this microRNA precursor (52 nucleotides) under Marmota monax (woodchuck). Lineage: Eukaryota; Metazoa; Chordata; Mammalia; Rodentia; Sciuridae. The record is from RNAcentral.
UUAGUAUUAUAAGUAUGUUCCAUUCAUUAUUUGGGAUAUACUCAUAUCAAAA